RNAcentral lists this ribosomal RNA (497 nucleotides) under uncultured bacterium. RNAcentral's name for it is "partial 16S ribosomal RNA". It matches the Rfam family "Bacterial small subunit ribosomal RNA", at positions 28 to 507 of the family's 1533-position model. The record is from RNAcentral.
GAUGAACGCUGGCGGCGUGCCUAAUACAUGCAAGUCGAGCGAACAGACGAGGAGCUUGCUCCUCUGACGUUAGCGGCGGACGGGUGAGUAACACGUGGAUAACCUACCUAUAAGACUGGGAUAACUUCGGGAAACCGGAGCUAAUACCGGAUAAUAUAUUGAACCGCAUGGUUCAAUAGUGAAAGACGGUUUUGCUGUCACUUAUAGAUGGAUCCGCGCCGCAUUAGCUAGUUGGUAAGGUAACGGCUUACCAAGGCGACGAUGCGUAGCCGACCUGAGAGGGUGAUCGGCCACACUGGAAGUGAGACACGGUCCAGACUCCUACGGGAGGCAGCAGUAGGGAAUCUUCCGCAAUGGGCGAAAGCCUGACGGAGCAACGCCGCGUGAGUGAUGAAGGUCUUCGGAUCGUAAAACUCUGUUAUUAGGGAAGAACAAAUGUGUAAGUAACUAUGCACGUCUUGACGGUACCUAAUCAGAAAGCCACGGCUAACUACGUG